This 2125-nucleotide ribosomal RNA is filed under the name human gut metagenome. Its description in RNAcentral is "bacterial LSU rRNA". It matches the Rfam family "Bacterial large subunit ribosomal RNA", at positions 754 to 2925 of the family's 2925-position model. The record is from RNAcentral.
GAGUAAAAUCUAGUGGAGGUCCGAACUGAUUGUCGUUAAAAAGGCACCGGAUGACUUGUGGAUAGCGGAGAAAUUCCAAUCGAACUCAGAGAUAGCUGGUUCUCCUCGAAAUAGCUUUAGGGCUAGCCUUGAGGGAAUGCAUAUGGGGGUAGAGCACUGAAUGAGGUAGGGGCCUAACCAGGUUACCAAACUCUAUCAAACUCCGAAUACCAUAUGUAAAUACUCAGGAGUCAGACUGCGGGAGCUAAGUUCCGUGGUCAAAAGGAAAACAGUCCAGAUCGUCAAUUAAGGUCCCAAAGAUAUAGCUAAGUGGAAAACGAUGUGAUUUUGCGUAAACAACCAGGAUGUUGGCUCAGAAGCAGCCAUACAUUUAAAGAGUGCGUAACAGCUCACUGGUCGAGUGAAGUUGCGCGGAAAAUUACCGGGGCUAAGCUAUACACCGAAAUUGCGGAUUUACAUUUGAAAGACAAUGUAAGUGGUAGAGGAGCAUUCUGUAGUAGGAAGAAGCAUGACCGUAAGGACAUGUGGACGAAGCAGAAGAGAGAAUGCUGGAAUAAGUAGCGAGAGGAUGGUGAGAAUCCAUCCCGUCGAAAAUCUAAGGUUUCCCAGGGAAGGUUCGUCCGCCUGGGGUAAGUCGGGACCUAAGGAGAGGCCGAAAGGCGUAUCUGAUGGAUAGCAGGUUGAAAUUCCUGCACUACGAAUAUACUUAAAAGAUUCAAGGGACGCAGAAGUGGAAGAUAACCAAGUAAGAGGAAAAGCUUGGCUCGCAAGAGGGAGUGAAAAUUAAAAGUAACGAAGUAUCAAGAAGCACGCUGACGAGAAAAGCUUGAAGAUAUUGUAUAUAAGUACCCGUACCGCAAACCGACACAGGUAGAUGAGGAGAGGAUCCUAAGACGAGCGGGAGAAGCAUUGUUAAGGAACUCGGCAAACUAACCCCGUAACUUCGGAAUAAGGGGUGCUGAUGUAACAGUCAGUCGCAGAGAAAAGGCCCAAGCAACUGUUUAACAAAAACAUAGGUUUCUGCUAAAUCGAAAGAUGAAGUAUAGGAGCUGACGCCUGCCCAGUGCUGGAAGGUUAAGGGAAAGAGUUAGGGUUAAACCGAAGCUUAGAACUGAAGCCCCAGUGAACGGCGGCCGUAACUAUAACGGUCCUAAGGUAGCGAAAUUCCUUGUCAGGUAAGUUCUGACCCGCACGAAAGGCGUAAUGAUUUGGGCGCUGUCUCGACAAUGUCCCCGGCGAAAUUGUAGUACUAGUGAAGAUGCUAGUUACCUGCGAUAAGACAGAAAGACCCCAUGGAGCUUUACUGCAGUUUGAUACUGGGUUUCGAUGAUUUAUGUACAGGAUAGUUGGGAGACUAUGAAAGAGAGGCGUCAGCUUCUCCGGAGUCGUUGUUGGGAUACCAACCUUAAGUUAUUGAAAUUCUAACUUGUAAUCGUAAACCGGUUAGAGGACAAUGUCAGACGGGCAGUUUGACUGGGGCGGUCGCCUCCUAAAGAGUAACGGAGGCGCCCAAAGGUUUCCUCAGCGCGGACAGAAAUCGCGCGAAAGAGUGCAAAGGCAGAAGGAAGCUUAACUGAGAGACAGACAUGUCGACCAGAUACGAAAGUAGGGCUUAGUGAUCCGGUGGUUGUAAAUGGAAAUGCCAUCGCUCAACGGACAAAAGUUACCCUGGGGAUAACAGGCUUAUCUCCCCCAAGAGUUCACAUCGACGGGGAGGUUUGGCACCUCGAUGUCGGCUCAUCGCAUCCUGGAGCGGAAGUACGUUCCAAGGGUUGGGCUGUUCGCCCAUUAAAGCGGUACGCGAGCUGGGUUCAGAACGUCGUGAGACAGUUCGGUCCUUAUCUAUCGCAGGCGUAAGAUAUUUGAAGAGUGCUGUCCUUAGUACGAGAGGACCAGGAUGGACAUACCAAUGGUGUAUCAGUUGUCUCACCAGAGGCACGGCUGAGUAGCUAAGUAUGGAUUGGAUAAACGCUGAAAGCAUCUAAGUGUGAAGCCAACUCUAAGAUAAGAUAUCUCAUAUCGUAAGGUAGUAAGAUUCCAUAAAGACUAUGUGGUUGAUAGGUUGGAGGUGUAAGUGUAGCGAUACAUUGAGCUGACCAAUACUAAUAAAUCGAGGGCUUAACCA